This is a transfer RNA of Hypholoma sublateritium FD-334 SS-4, 106 nucleotides long. It matches the Rfam family "tRNA". From Rfam's summary of the family: Transfer RNA (tRNA) molecules are approximately 80 nucleotides in length. Their secondary structure includes four short double-helical elements and three loops (D, anti-codon, and T loops). The record is from Rfam. NCBI's taxonomy places the organism in Eukaryota, Fungi, Basidiomycota, Agaricomycetes, Agaricales, Strophariaceae.
CCUUCGAUAGCUCAGAUGGAAGAGCGUGGGACUGUAAUAUUUACGUUACGUAAGCAACUGUUUACGAGUUAUCCCGAGGCCACCGGUUCGAUCCCGGUUCGAAGGA